AAGUCGAGCGGACCGACGGGAGCUUGCUCCCUUAGGUCAGCGGCGGACGGGUGAGUAACACGUGGGUAACCUGCCUGUAAGACUGGGAUAACUCCGGGAAACCGGGGCUAAUACCGGAUGCUUGAUUGAACCGCAUGGUUCAAUUAUAAAAGGUGGCUUUCAGCUACCACUUGCAGAUGGACCCGCGGCGCAUUAGCUAGUUGGUGAGGUAACGGCUCACCAAGGCGACGAUGCGUAGCCGACCUGAGAGGGUGAUCGGCCACACUGGGACUGAGACACGGCCCAGACUCCUACGGGAGGCAGCAGUAGGGAAUCUUCCGCAAUGGACGAAAGUCUGACGGAGCAACGCCGCGUGAGUGAUGAAGGUUUUCGGAUCGUAAAACUCUGUUGUUAGGGAAGAACAAGUACUGUUCGAAUAGGGCGGUACCUUGACGGUACCUAACCAGAAAGCCACGGCUAACUACGUGCCAGCAGCCGCGGUAAUACGUAGGUGGCAAGCGUUGUCCGGAAU
Molecule: ribosomal RNA, 511 nt
Filed under: Bacillus licheniformis
Lineage: Bacteria; Bacillati; Bacillota; Bacilli; Caryophanales; Bacillaceae
Description: bacterial SSU rRNA
Rfam family: Bacterial small subunit ribosomal RNA
Source: RNAcentral